This 460-nucleotide ribosomal RNA is filed under the name uncultured beta proteobacterium. Its description in RNAcentral is "bacterial SSU rRNA". It matches the Rfam family "Bacterial small subunit ribosomal RNA", at positions 200 to 642 of the family's 1533-position model. Lineage: Bacteria; Pseudomonadati; Pseudomonadota; Betaproteobacteria. The record is from RNAcentral.
AGGAAAGCAGGGGAUCGCAAGACCUUGCGCUUUUGGAGCGGCCGAUGUCUGAUUAGCUAGUUGGUGAGGUAAAGGCUUACCAAGGCGUCGAUCAGUAGCUGGUCUGAGAGGACGACCAGCCACACUGGGACUGAGACACGGCCCAGACUCCUACGGGAGGCAGCAGUGGGGAAUUUUGGACAAUGGGGGAAACCCUGAUCCAGCCAUGCCGCGUGAGUGAAGAAGGCCUUCGGGUUGUAAAGCUCUUUCAGCCGGAACGAAACGGUCACAGCUAAUACCUGUGACUACUGACGGUACCGGAAGAAGAAGCACCGGCUAACUACGUGCCAGCAGCCGCGGUAAUACGUAGGGUGCGAGCGUUAAUCGGAAUUACUGGGCGCAAAGCGUGCGCAGGCGGUUUUGUAAGUCAGAUGUGAAUCCCCGGGCUUAACCUGGGAACUGCGUUUGAAACUACAAGGCU